GGACCAGCACCUAAAGAUCACAGACAUAUCACCAGAUCGACUCUCAUGUGUGGAAGGCUUCUUCUGUAAGGCUGAGAUGGCUCUGGAGAAAUACGGAAAAUCGCCUUCAGUCGAUGUAUCAACCCUCGACCGUCUGUUGCUGCAGUACACGAAAGCAAAGAAUGUCACAUACUGUCCUCUGAACACAAAGAAGAAAUGUGGCAUGAAACGAUUUUUGGAGAAAGUCAAGAUUUGUUCAAGAAGAGCACUGGAGAACAAUAUAAUGACAUGUCCUUAAUAAGUUAUUUCUAUUUAUUGUGAAACAUAAUAUUUAUUUUCCUACAUAUCUUAUUUUUGUACUGUUUGUAUUUAUACAUCAAUAAAUUAUAAUGGCACAGUGGUUUGUUG
Long non-coding RNA from Anarrhichthys ocellatus (wolf-eel), 387 nucleotides. RefSeq lists it as uncharacterized. The transcript is spliced from 3 exons. The record is from RefSeq and is a predicted model, not a curated record. Lineage: Eukaryota; Metazoa; Chordata; Actinopteri; Perciformes; Anarhichadidae.